This 1388-nucleotide ribosomal RNA is filed under the name uncultured organism. RNAcentral describes it as "16S ribosomal RNA". It matches the Rfam family "Bacterial small subunit ribosomal RNA". The record is from RNAcentral.
UGAACGCUGGCGGCGUGCUUAACACAUGCAAGUCGAACGGGAAGUCUGGUGCUUGCACUAGAUGGAGAGUGGCGGACGGGUGAGUGAUACAUAGGUGAUCUGCCUUGAGGUGAGGGAUAACCGUGGGAAACCACGGCUAAUACCUCAGAUGUUCAAAUGUUUAGAAAGUUUGAACUAAAACUCCGGUGCCUCAAGAUGAGCCUGUGGGCUAUCAGCUAGUUGGUGAGGUAACGGCUCACCAAGGCUAAGACGGCUAGGGGACGUGAGAGCGUGAUCCCCCACAAUGGAACUGAGACACGGUCCAUACUCCUACGGGAGGCAGCAGUGAGGAAUAUUGCGCAAUAGGGGAAACCCUGACGCAGCAACGCCGCGUGGGUGAUGAAGGCCUUCGGGUUGUAAAGCCCUUUUUUAGGGAAAGAUAGUGACGGUACCCUAAGAAUAAGUCCCGGCUAACUACGUGCCAGCAGCCGCGGUAAAACGUAGGGGGCGAGCGUUAUCCGGAUUUAUUGGGCGUAAAGAGCACGUAGGUGGUAUCAUAAGUUGGGUGUGAAAGCUCCUGGCUUAACUAGGAGAGGUCACUCAAUACUGUGGUGCUUGAGGUUGGAAUAGGAGAGCAGAAUUCCCGGUGUAGUGGUGGAAUGCGUAGAUAUCGGGAGGAAUACCAGUGGCGAAAGCGGCUCUCUAGUCCACACCUGACACUGAGGUGCGAAAGCGUGGGGAGCGAACGGGAUUAGAUACCCCGGUAGUCCACGCCGUAAACGAUGGAUACUAGGCGUAGGAGGCAUCUUACCCCUUCUGUGCCAAAGUUAACGCGUUAAGUAUCCCGCCUGGGGAUUACGGCCGCAAGGCUAAAACUCAAAGGAAUUGACGGGGGCCCGCACAAGCAGCGGAGCGUGUGGUUUAAUUCGAUGAUACGCGAAGAACCUUACCUAGGUUUGACAUAUACAUGGUAGUGAAGUGAAAGCGGAACGACCCUUCGGGGAGUGUAUACAGGUGCUGCAUGGCUGUCGUCAGCUCGUGUCGUGAGAUGUUGGGUUAAGUCCCGCAACGAGCGCAACCCUCGUCGCUAGUUACAAGUGUCUAGCGAGACUGCCGGUUUCAACCCGGAGGAAGGUGAGGAUGACGUCAAGUCAGCAUGGUCUUUAUAUCUAGGGCUACACACACGCUACAAUGGCCAGUACAAUGGGUUGCUACACUGCGAAGUGAAGCUAAUCUCUAAAGCUGGUCUCAGUUCGGAUUGUAGUCUGCAACUCGACUACAUGAAGGCGGAGUUGCUAGUAACUGCGCGUCAGCAACAGUGCAGUGAAUGCGUUCUCGGGCCUUGUACACACCGCCCGUCACAUCAUGGGAGUCGGUAACACCUGAAGUCGGCUGCUUAACCGAAAGGA